This 1062-nucleotide ribosomal RNA is filed under the name Salmonella enterica. RNAcentral describes it as "partial 23S ribosomal RNA". It matches the Rfam family "Bacterial large subunit ribosomal RNA", at positions 1292 to 2337 of the family's 2925-position model. The record is from RNAcentral. Lineage: Bacteria; Pseudomonadati; Pseudomonadota; Gammaproteobacteria; Enterobacterales; Enterobacteriaceae.
GAAUGCUGACAUAAGUAACGAUAAAGCGGGUGAAAAGCCCGCUCGCCGGAAGACCAAGGGUUCCUGUCCAACGUUAAUCGGGGCAGGGUGAGUCGACCCCUAAGGCGAGGCCGAAAGGCGUAGUCGAUGGGAAACGGGUUAAUAUUCCCGUACUUGGUGUUACUGCGAAGGGGGGACGGAGAAGGCUAUGUUGGCCGGGCGACGGUUGUCCCGGUUUAAGCGUGUAGGUGUGUGUUCCAGGUAAAUCCGGUUCACUUUAACACUGAGGCGUGACGACGAGGCACUACGGUGCUGAAGCAACAAAUGCCCUGCUUCCAGGAAAAGCCUCUAAGCAUCAGGUAACAUCAAAUCGUACCCCAAACCGACACAGGUGGUCAGGUAGAGAAUACCAAGGCGCUUGAGAGAACUCGGGUGAAGGAACUAGGCAAAAUGGUGCCGUAACUUCGGGAGAAGGCACGCUGACACGUAGGUGAAGUGAUUUACUCAUGGAGCUGAAGUCAGUCGAAGAUACCAGCUGGCUGCAACUGUUUAUUAAAAACACAGCACUGUGCAAACACGAAAGUGGACGUAUACGGUGUGACGCCUGCCCGGUGCCGGAAGGUUAAUUGAUGGGGUCAGCGCAAGCGAAGCUCCUGAUCGAAGCCCCGGUAAACGGCGGCCGUAACUAUAACGGUCCUAAGGUAGCGAAAUUCCUUGUCGGGUAAGUUCCGACCUGCACGAAUGGCGUAAUGAUGGCCAGGCUGUCUCCACCCGAGACUCAGUGAAAUUGAACUCGCUGUGAAGAUGCAGUGUACCCGCGGCAAGACGGAAAGACCCCGUGAACCUUUACUAUAGCUUGACACUGAACAUUGAGCCUUGAUGUGUAGGAUAGGUGGGAGGCUUUGAAGUGUGGACGCCAGUCUGCAUGGAGCCGACCUUGAAAUACCACCCUUUAAUGUUUGAUGUUCUAACGUGGACCCGUUACCCGGGUUGCGGACAGUGUCUGGUGGGUAGUUUGACUGGGGCGGUCUCCUCCUAAAGAGUAACGGAGGAGCACGAAGGUUGGCUAAUCCUGGUCGGACA